This 480-nucleotide ribosomal RNA is filed under the name Triticum aestivum (bread wheat). RNAcentral describes it as "partial small subunit ribosomal RNA". Lineage: Eukaryota; Viridiplantae; Streptophyta; Magnoliopsida; Poales; Poaceae. The record is from RNAcentral.
AUGGCUAGGGGGCUGUGGAAGGUUGGCAUUCCCCUCAAGAUUAAGAUUUUUAUGUGGCAAAUGUUCCGCAAUCGCCUUCCAACCUCGGAUAAUGUGGCCAACCGCAACGGGCCGGCGAAUGGGACAUGCGCCAUCUGUGGUCUUGGGGAGGACGCUAACCACGUAUUCUUCAGAUGCUGUCUCGCUAGAUUUGCGUGGAGUGCGGUCAGAGAUACUUUUAAUCAGAAUUGGAACCCGCAAACUAGUGUCGAUCUUCUUAACCUGUUAUCCGCACAGAGGGGUGUGAAUGCGAGGGUGGUGUGGCGCAGCGUAGGGGCGAUGCUUUGGUCCAUUUGGACCGUGAGGAACAAAAUUACUAUCGAGCACAAGUUUCCUGCUCACCCCGUUGAGAUUCUUUUCAAAUGUCAUAUUUUCUUACAGGCUUGGGCGCCAUUGGGGAAGCAGCAUGACGAGGAACGCAUGAUCGAGACUAUGGAGUAG